CCCCUAGAUGUUCUGGGCCGCACGCGCGCUACACUGAACAGUUCAACAAGUCUUAACCUUGGCCGAAAGGUCUGGGUAAUCUCCAAAUUUCGUCGUGAUGGGGAUAGAUUAUUGCAAUUAUUAAUCUUCAACGAGGAAUGCCUAGUAAGCGCAAGUCAUCAGCUUGCGUUGAUUACGUCCCUGCCCUUUGUACACACCGCCCGUCGCUCCUACCGAUUGAAUGGUCCGGUGAAGCGUUCGGACCGUGGCCUUUGGACGGUUCGCCAUCUGUUGGCUGCGGGAAGUUCGUUAAACCUUAUCAUUUAGAGGAAGGAGAAGUCGUAACA
RNAcentral lists this ribosomal RNA (326 nucleotides) under uncultured eukaryote. Its description in RNAcentral is "partial 18S ribosomal RNA". It matches the Rfam family "Eukaryotic small subunit ribosomal RNA", at positions 1470 to 1796 of the family's 1831-position model. The record is from RNAcentral.